AUUGAACGCUGGCGGCAGGCCUAACACAUGCAAGUCGAACGGUAACAGGAAGAAGCUUGCUUCUUUGCUGACGAGUGGCGGACGGGUGAGUAAUGUCUGGGAAACUGCCUGAUGGAGGGGGAUAACUACUGGAAACGGUAGCUAAUACCGCAUAACGUCGCAAGACCAAAGAGGGGGACCUUCGGGCCUCUUGCCAUCGGAUGUGCCCAGAUGGGAUUAGCUAGUAGGUGGGGUAACGGCUCACCUAGGCGACGAUCCCUAGCUGGUCUGAGAGGAUGACCAGCCACACUGGAACUGAGACACGGUCCACACUCCUACGGGAGGCAGCAGUGGGGAAUAUUGCACAAUGGGCGCAAGCCUGAUGCAGCCAUGCCGCGUGUAUGAAGAAGGCCUUCGGGUUGUAAAGUACUUUCAGCGGGGAGGAAGGGAGUAAAGUUAAUACCUUUGCUCAUUGACGUUACCCGCAGAAGAAGCACCGGCUAACUCCGUG
Molecule: ribosomal RNA, 490 nt
Filed under: uncultured bacterium
Lineage: Bacteria
Description: partial 16S ribosomal RNA
Rfam family: Bacterial small subunit ribosomal RNA
Source: RNAcentral